RNAcentral lists this long non-coding RNA (1031 nucleotides) under Equus caballus (horse). RNAcentral's name for it is "lncRNA (ENSECAG00000045170.1)". The record is from RNAcentral. Lineage: Eukaryota; Metazoa; Chordata; Mammalia; Perissodactyla; Equidae.
CCCUGAUGGUUACAGAGACUCUUGAUGGUCUCCUGGGGGAGCCAGAGAGUCAUCUCUUGUUUACAGGUUAAUAAUGUCAUUAAAUAUAUUUGCAUACCAGGACAUCAGCAGGAUUUCAAUAAAGAUAACUAGUGCAGGGUAAAGCUGGUUCCCAGGGAGGAUGGGGUGAUUCAUCACACACUUAAAAGAGAAGACCAGCCUCAUUUCCUCCCCAGCUUAAGGGGAAAUGAUUGCUCUACUUCUUGGCAGCAGGUCUCCAAGAGGGAGGGGCCUGGCCACCUCUCUGGCCCAGAUGAGGUGUCAGCCUCACUAGCUGAACUGAAGGCUGGCUUGAACAAUGCUCUGCAGUCUCCUUGCCCUGCUUCUGGGCCCUCUCUUGGGUGUCAGAACUCAGACCAUCCAUCAGUGGCCACCUACCAGGGUACAGCUUGUGGGCAGCCCACUCUCCCUGGAGUGCACCGUGAAGGGAACAUCUAACCCCAACCUAUACUGGUACCGGCAGGCUGCAGGGGGGCCCUCCAGCUGCUCUUCUACUCCUAUGGUGCUGAUGAGAUACACUCUGAGGCACCUCAGAACUUCAAAGCAUCCAGGUCCCAGGAUGGCAAGUUCAUCCUGAGUUCUAAGAAACUCCUCCUCAAUGACUCUGCCUUCUACCUCUGUGCCUGGAGUCUCACACUGGGCUGGGUGGGGCAGACAUCUGUGCAAAAACCCCACCCUCUCCAGAGUCUUCACCACCUUCUCUGGGAGCCCUCACUCAGGGACUGGGUGGAGGAUAUUUGUCACCCAGUUUCUGACUGUCAGCCAAUGUGAGAGCAACUGAAUCAAGCCAGACUCUCCAAAGUAACUUUACUAAGUUCUUAGGGAGAACCAAAAGAUUUCUGUGUACAGAACCUGUGAAUUGUGUACAGCUGGUCAAGUUCCCAACAUAUGGAUGUCUAGUCCUUGGCUAUCGUACCCCAGCCCUCAAGGGAUGCUAUACUUUGUCUAACACUCUAUUCUCCAAAUCCCUGUCAGCCUACACUGGGGAGUGG